This 492-nucleotide ribosomal RNA is filed under the name uncultured bacterium. RNAcentral's name for it is "partial 16S ribosomal RNA". It matches the Rfam family "Bacterial small subunit ribosomal RNA", at positions 29 to 507 of the family's 1533-position model. The record is from RNAcentral.
AGUGAACGCUGGCGGUAGGCCUAACACAUGCAAGUCGAACGGCAGCACAGUAAGAGCUUGCUCUUACGGGUGGCGAGUGGCGGACGGGUGAGGAAUACAUCGGAAUCUACUUUUUCGUGGGGGAUAACGUAGGGAAACUUACGCUAAUACCGCAUACGACCUACGGGUGAAAGCAGGGGAUAUUCGGACCUUGCGCGCUUGAAUGGGCCGAUGUCGGAUUAGCUAGUUGGCGGGGUAAAGGCCCACCAAGGCGACGAUCCGUAGCUGGUCUGAGAGGAUGAUCAGCCACACUGGAACUGAGACGCGGUCCAGACUCCUACGGGAGGCAGCAGUGGGGAAUAUUGGACAAUGGGCGCAAGCCUGAUCCAGCCAUACCGCGUGGGUGAAGAAGGCCUUCGGGUUGUAAAGCCCUUUUGUUGGGAAAGAAAAGCAGCAGGUUAAUACCCCGCUGUUCUGACGGUACCCAAAGAAUAAGCACCGGCUAACUUCGUG